This 72-nucleotide transfer RNA is filed under the name Bos taurus (domestic cattle). It matches the Rfam family "tRNA". Rfam says of the family: Transfer RNA (tRNA) molecules are approximately 80 nucleotides in length. Their secondary structure includes four short double-helical elements and three loops (D, anti-codon, and T loops). Lineage: Eukaryota; Metazoa; Chordata; Mammalia; Artiodactyla; Bovidae. The record is from Rfam by way of RNAcentral. RNAcentral also lists the same sequence under 2 other names.
UCCCUGGUGGCUCAGAUGGUAAAGUAUCUGCCUGUAAUGCAGGAGACCUGGGUUCGACCCCUGGGUUGGGAA